This 160-nucleotide non-coding RNA is filed under the name bovine gut metagenome. RNAcentral describes it as "Lysine riboswitch". It matches the Rfam family "Lysine riboswitch aptamer". Rfam says of the family: Riboswitches are metabolite binding domains within certain messenger RNAs that serve as precision sensors for their corresponding targets. Allosteric rearrangement of mRNA structure is mediated by ligand binding, and this results in modulation of gene expression. This family includes riboswitches that sense lysine in a number of genes involved in lysine metabolism, including lysC. The record is from RNAcentral.
UGGUAGAGGUGCGGAAUUCAAGAGUAGCUGCCGUAAUGGCCCGGAAAGGCCGGCAUGCGAAAGGGGGUUCUGCCGAAGGUUUUACAGGGUUUCCGUCCUGCCUAACCUGGGGUUCAGCGAAAUACGUUGUUCACUGUCGCAUAAUGCGGAGCGCUACUAU